This 235-nucleotide long non-coding RNA is filed under the name Carica papaya (papaya). RNAcentral describes it as "long non-coding RNA (CPAP_LNC004163)". The record is from RNAcentral. Lineage: Eukaryota; Viridiplantae; Streptophyta; Magnoliopsida; Brassicales; Caricaceae.
UACUCGUUUCGGGGUCCGAACACAGCUUCACAGUGCGCCUACAGGCUGUCCCUAAUUUUCUCUGAAUUUUUUUCAGGGAACUGAAACGCACUACUGGUACCUGCACGUGUUCCAAAAAAUCCCAAAUUAGGCCCAGGGCCCCUUUUUGGCCAAUAUCGCAAUUCCGGCACAGCGGCUCCGUCGUGCUCCGGCAAGCGGCGGCGAUUCACCUCGGUUUGGCCGUUUUCGGCCGAAU